RNAcentral lists this ribosomal RNA (330 nucleotides) under uncultured Chloroflexota bacterium. RNAcentral's name for it is "bacterial SSU rRNA". It matches the Rfam family "Bacterial small subunit ribosomal RNA", at positions 28 to 351 of the family's 1533-position model. Lineage: Bacteria; Bacillati; Chloroflexota. The record is from RNAcentral.
GAUGAACGCUGGCGGCGUGCUUAAUACAUGCAAGUCGAACGAGGUGCUUUUGUAGCAAUACGGAAGUAUCCUAGUGGCGAACGGGUGAGUAACGCGUUGGUGACCUACCCCGAAGUGUGGGAUAACAGUCCGAAAGGAUUGCUAAUACCGCAUGUGGUCCCCGGAUCUAGAAACCGGUGACUAAAGCAGCAAUGCGCUUUGGGAGGGACCUGCGUCCCAUCAGCUAGUUGGUGAGGUAACGGCUCACCAAGGCGUCGACGGGUAAGGGACCUGAGAGGGUGGUCCCUCACAAUGGCACUGAAACACGGGCCAUACACCUACGGGUGGCAG